GAUGAAGAACGUAGCGAAAUGCGAUAAGUAAUGUGAAUUGCAGAAUUCAGUGAAUCAUCGAAUCUUUGAACGCACAUUGCGCCCGUCAGUAUUCUGGCGGGCAUGCCUGUUCGAGCGUCAUUACGCCCCUCAAGUCCCCUGUGGACUUGGUGUUGGGGAUCGGCGAGGCUGGUUUUCCAGCACAGCCGUCCCUUAAAUUAAUUGGCGGUCUCGCCGUGGCCCUCCUCUGCGCAGUAGUAAAACACUCGCAACAGGAGCCCGGCGCGGUCCACUGCCGUAAAACCCCCGACAUAGGCCUUCCUGUCCGCCCCCGGCGGGGAGGGAGACCGCCUAAUGUUGACCUCGGAUCAGGUAGGACUACCCGCUGAACUUAAGCAUAUCAAUAAGCGGAGGA
RNAcentral lists this unclassified non-coding RNA (394 nucleotides) under soil metagenome. Its description in RNAcentral is "partial contains 5.8S ribosomal RNA, internal transcribed spacer 2, and large subunit ribosomal RNA". The stretch from base 1 to 120 matches the Rfam family "5.8S ribosomal RNA", at positions 35 to 154 of the family's 154-position model. The record is from RNAcentral.